GACGAACGCUGGCGGCGUGCUUAACACAUGCAAGUCGAACGGAAAGGCCCUGCUUUUGUGGGGUGCUCGAGUGGCGAACGGGUGAGUAACACGUGAGUAACCUGCCCUUGACUUUGGGAUAACUUCAGGAAACUGGGGCUAAUACCGGAUAGGAGCUCCUGCUGCAUGGUGGGGGUUGGAAAGUUUCGGCGGUUGGGGAUGGACUCGCGGCUUAUCAGCUUGUUGGUGGGGUAGUGGCUUACCAAGGCAUUGACGGGUAGCCGGCCUGAGAGGGUGACCGGCAACAUUGGGACUGAGAUACGGCCCAGACUGCUACGGGAGGCAGCAGUGGAGAAUAUUGCACAAUGGGCGGAAGCCUGAUGCAGCAACGCCGCGUGCGGGAUGACGGCCUUCGGGUUGUAAACCGCUUUCGCCUGUGACGAAGCGUGAGUGACGGUAAUGGGUAAAGAAGCACCGGCUAACUACGUG
This 468-nucleotide ribosomal RNA is filed under the name uncultured bacterium. RNAcentral describes it as "partial 16S ribosomal RNA". It matches the Rfam family "Bacterial small subunit ribosomal RNA", at positions 28 to 507 of the family's 1533-position model. The record is from RNAcentral.